GACGGACGCUGGCGGUGUGCUUAACACAUGCAAGUCGAACGGUAAGGCCCUUUCGGGGGUCCACGAGUGGCGCACGGGUGAGUAACACGUGAGUAACCUGCCCUCAUCUCUGGGAUAACAGUCGGAAACGGUUGCUAAUACUGGAUAUGAGCUUGCAAGGCAUCUUGUGGGUUGGAAAGAUUUUUUUUGGUUGGGGAUGGACUCGCGGCCUAUCAGCUUGUUGGUGAGGUAGUGGCUCACCAAGGCUUCGACGGGUAGCCGGCCUGAGAGGGCGACCGGCCACAUUGGGACUGAGAUACGGCCCAAACUCCUACGGGAGGCAGCAGUGGGGAAUAUUGCACAAUGGACGGAAGUCUGAUGCAGCAACGCCGCGUGCGGGAUGACGACCUUCGGGUUGUAAACCGCUUUCAAUUGUGACGAAGCUUUUUUGUGACGGUAGCAGUAGAAGAAGCACCGGCUAACUACGUG
Molecule: ribosomal RNA, 468 nt
Filed under: uncultured bacterium
Lineage: Bacteria
Description: partial 16S ribosomal RNA
Rfam family: Bacterial small subunit ribosomal RNA
Source: RNAcentral